Molecule: ribosomal RNA, 484 nt
Filed under: uncultured bacterium
Lineage: Bacteria
Description: partial 16S ribosomal RNA
Rfam family: Bacterial small subunit ribosomal RNA
Source: RNAcentral
AUUGAACGCUGGCGGCAGGCCUAACACAUGCCAGUCGAGCGGAUGCAGAGAGAUUGCUCCUGGAAAAAGAGGAAGAAGAAUAAGUAAUGCAUACGAAAAUGAAUGAAAGUGGGGGAUAACGUCCGGAACCGGGCGCUAAUACCGCAUACGUCCUGAGGGAGAAAGUGGGGGAUCUUCGGACCUCACGCUAUCAGAUGAGCCUAGGUCGGAUUAGCUAGUUGGUGGGGUAAAGGCCUACCAAGGCGACGAUCCGUAACUGGUCUGAGAGGAUGAUCAGUCACACUGGAACUGAGACACGGUCCAGACUCCUACGGGAGGCAGCAGUGGGGAAUAUUGGACAAUGGGCGAAAGCCUGAUCCAGCCAUGCCGCGUGUGUGAAGAAGGUCUUCGGAUUGUAAAGCACUUUAAGUUGGGAGGAAGGGCAGUAAGUUAAUACCUUGCUGUUUUUACGUUACCAACAGAAUAAGCACCGGCUAACUUCGUG